UGUACUGUAAAGAAGCU
RNAcentral lists this microRNA (17 nucleotides) under Corchorus capsularis. Its description in RNAcentral is "sRNA CCACVL1_13021". The record is from RNAcentral. Lineage: Eukaryota; Viridiplantae; Streptophyta; Magnoliopsida; Malvales; Malvaceae.